CGGACGGGUGAGUAACACGUAGGCAACCUGCCCUCGAGACUGGGAUAACUACCGGAAACGGUAGCUAAUACCGGAUAAUUUAUUUCACAGCAUUGUGGAAUAAUGAAAGACGGAGCAAUCUGUCACUUGGGGAUGGGCCUGCGGCGCAUUAGCUAGUUGGUGGGGUAAUGGCUCACCAAGGCGACGAUGCGUAGCCGACCUGAGAGGGUGAACGGCCACACUGGGACUGAGACACGGCCCAGACUCCUACGGGAGGCAGCAGUAGGGAAUCUUCCGCAAUGGGCGAAAGCCUGACGGAGCAACGCCGCGUGAGUGAUGAAGGUUUUCGGAUCGUAAAGCUCUGUUGCCAAGGAAGAACGUCUUCUAGAGUAACUGCUAGGAGAGUGACGGUACUUGAGAAGAAAGCCCCGGCUAACUACGUGCCAGCAGCCGCGGUAAUACGUAGGGGGCAAGCGUUGUCCGGAAUUAUUGGGCGUAAAGCGCGCGCAGGCGGUUCUUUAAGUCUGGUGUUUAAACCCGAGGCUCAACUUCGGGUCGCACUGGAAACUGGGGGACUUGAGUGCAGAAGAGGAGAGUGGAAUUCCACGUGUAGCGGUGAAAUGCGUAGAUAUGUGGAGGAACACCAGUGGCGAAGGCGACUCUCUGGGCUGUAACUGACGCUGAGGCGCGAAAGCGUGGGGAGCAAACAGGAUUAGAUACC
Molecule: ribosomal RNA, 700 nt
Filed under: Paenibacillus sp.
Lineage: Bacteria; Bacillati; Bacillota; Bacilli; Caryophanales; Paenibacillaceae
Description: bacterial SSU rRNA
Rfam family: Bacterial small subunit ribosomal RNA
Source: RNAcentral